Megalobrama amblycephala (Wuchang bream) is the source of this 1327-nucleotide long non-coding RNA. RefSeq lists it as uncharacterized. The record is from RefSeq and is a predicted model, not a curated record. Lineage: Eukaryota; Metazoa; Chordata; Actinopteri; Cypriniformes; Xenocyprididae. The transcript is spliced from 3 exons.
UAAAUGCAUGCAUCGAUAAAACGUUAAUUAAUGACUUAAAUACAAAAAGUGUAGUGACUUUAGAGAAACGCAAAGUGAUUUACAGGUGAGUCUGGAUUCCUCCUGUUACUUUAUUACAGUGUGUGUCGGUUGUUUUUGCAGAUGAGCUUAAAUAUGUGCUGUUGAGAGUCUGUUACUGAGCUGUCAUCUGCAGGAUUUCUACUUUAAUGUCCUUAAAACUAUCAGAAAGUUUUGUGGCAACUGUCAUCAGGUGUCAUGUUGUUGACAUGAAUCCAAAGGUGUCAUGCUGAACGUGAAACCCGCUUCCGCCGCCUAGUGGAGCGGAUGGCGAACUGCGCCGUUUGAAACGCCAAACGGGAACAGUGCGAGUCGUUGAUGAGAUAAUACGCAUUUUUAGUCAUAUAUAUUAAAGCAAAUCCAUGAUUUUGUGAGGAUCUGGACUAGCAGAUAAAUUUAGAAUCUACUAGUUAAUUGCCUCAGAUCAGCUCUCAGCUGGAAGGGCUUGAGUUGAGACUCUGGCUGCUCAUUUGAGUCAUUGAGCAGAAGAUUAACAUCCAGUCACAUGACCAUGGAGAUACUGUAGCUCUUCAAGUCUUCUGAAACCCAGAUCUGGGAUUCUCAGACUCAACUCUUCAACAGUCGAUGCCCUCGACUUCCUGGCCUUUGGUUUUUCAUGACACUUUAAUAGUUGGUGUUGUGUGAAGCUCUGAUGUUUUUGCUGCUUCAUGGCACAUUUAUGAGCUUAAUGUUCCUGUUAUUAUGACCUGUAUGAUGGGUCUAACAUGCAGUUAAACACAUGCUUUCUAAAUAUGUUACAGCCCACCCCACUAGUUUAUACAUUUCAGUUUAUCAUGGUGCACAGUUUGCUCAUGUUAUUUAUUUACUUAUAUUUGAAUAUUUUUGUUAUUUUGUAUCUGGGAUUCUCUAACUCUGUUUUCAGACAAACCGGUGAGAUGAAAGACUCGCAGCCAUUUCAAGUAAUUAUUACUCUCCUCCAGUACCACAAAUUUAAAGCUCUUUCUGUAUAAUGUAAUAAAAGUUGUUUAAAUUGCAUUGGGUUUUUUGGGGGGAGAGGGAACCCAUGAGGUCUUCCUGUGCCACUGACUCUGGUGAGUUGAGAUGGGUUUUAUUGUAAACUGUUUUAUAUGAUGAUAACUCUUAGCAAUCUGUAGUGAGACCACAGAAAUGUUUAAUCUUAUAUAUAUUUUAAAGUAAAUCUUUGAUUUUGUCUGGAUGUGGAAGGGUAAAACAGAUAAAAUGUCUGAUUUGUUGAACUAAAAGUCAUAUGGCUGAAAUACAAACAGAAAUAAAGGAACAAAAGAUAUUA